AUAAAGAUGACGAGUCCCAAACAGGAUGAAAUGCACAUCCUGCAU
RNAcentral lists this non-coding RNA (45 nucleotides) under Trichobilharzia regenti. Lineage: Eukaryota; Metazoa; Platyhelminthes; Trematoda; Strigeidida; Schistosomatidae. The record is from RNAcentral.